GACGAACGCUGGCGGCGUGCUUAACACAUGCAAGUCGAACGGAAAGGCCCUGCUUUUGUGGGGUGCUCGAGUGGCGAACGGGUGAGUAACACGUGAGUAACCUGCCCUUGACUUUGGGAUAACUUCAGGAAACUGGGGCUAAUACCGGAUAGGAGCUCCUGCUGCAUGGUGGGGGUUGGAAAGUUUCGGCGGUUGGGGAUGGACUCGCGGCUUAUCAGCUUGUUGGUGGGGUAGUGGCUUACCAAGGCUUUGACGGGUAGCCGGCCUGAGAGGGUGACCGGCCACAUUGGGACUGAGAUACGGCCCAGACGCCUACGGGAGGCAGCAGUGGGGAAUAUUGCACAAUGGGCGGAAGCCUGAUGCAGCAACGCCGCGUGCGGGAGGACGGCCGUCGGGUUGUAAACCGCUUUCGCCUGGGACGAAGCGUGAGUGACGGUAAUGUGUAAAGAAGCACCGGCUAACUACGUG
Molecule: ribosomal RNA, 468 nt
Filed under: uncultured bacterium
Lineage: Bacteria
Description: partial 16S ribosomal RNA
Rfam family: Bacterial small subunit ribosomal RNA
Source: RNAcentral